Molecule: ribosomal RNA, 790 nt
Filed under: uncultured Alphaproteobacteria bacterium
Lineage: Bacteria; Pseudomonadati; Pseudomonadota; Alphaproteobacteria
Description: bacterial SSU rRNA
Rfam family: Bacterial small subunit ribosomal RNA
Source: RNAcentral
AGAGUUUGAUCCUGGCUCAGAACGUACGCUGGCGGCACGCCUAACACAUGCAAGUCGAACGAAGUAGCAAUACUUAGUGGCAGACGGGUGAGUAACAUGUGGGUAUCUACCCUUUGGCCUGGAAUAACACGAGGAAACUUGUGCUAAUACCGGAUAAGUCUUUACAGAGAAAGCUUUAUGCACCAUUGGAUGAGCCCGCACUUGAUUAGUUUGUUGGUAGGGUAAUGGCCUACCAAGACUAUGAUCAAUAGCUGAUUUGAGAGGAUGAUCAGCCACAUUGGGACUGAGACACGGCCCAAACUCCUACGGGAGGCAGCAGUGGGGAAUCUUGCACAAUGGAGGAAACUCUGAUGCAGCGAUGCCGCGUGAGUGAAGAAGGCCUUUGGGUUGUAAAGCUCUUUCGUCGGGGAAGAAAAUGACUGUACCCGAAUAAGAAGGUCCGGCUAACUUCGUGCCAGCAGCCGCGGUAAUACGAAGGGACCUAGCGUAGUUCGGAAUUACUGGGCUUAAAGAGUUCGUAGGUGGUUGAAAAAGUUGGUGGUGAAAUCCCAGAGCUUAACUCUGGAACUGCCAUCAAAACUUUUCAGCUAGAGUAUGAUAGAGGAAAGCAGAAUUUCUAGUGUAGAGGUGAAAUUCGUAGAUAUUAGAAAGAAUACCAAUUGCGAAGGCAGCUUUCUGGAUCAUUACUGACACUGAGGAACGAAAGCAUGGGUAGCGAAGAGGAUUAGGUACCCUCGUAGUCCAUGCCGUAAACGAUGUGUGUUAGACGUUGGAAAUUUAUUUUCAGUGU